AACGAACGCUGGCGGCAUGCCUAACACAUGCAAGUCGAACGAGACCUUCGGGUCUAGUGGCGCACGGGUGCGUAACGCGUGGGAACCUGCCCUUAGGUUCGGAAUAACUCUCCGACAGGGGUGCUAAUACCGGAUAAUGUCUUCGGACCAAGGAUUUAUCGCCUUUGGAUGUGCCCGCGUUGGAUUAGCUAGUUGGGAGGGUAAAAGCCUACCAAGGCGCCGAUCCAUAGCUGGUCUGAGAGGAUGAUCAGCCACACUGCGACUGAGACACGGCCCAGACUCCUACGGGAGGCAGCAGUGGGGAAUAUUGGACAAUGGGCGAAAGCAUGAUCCAGCAAUGCCGCGUGAGUGAUGAAGGCAUUAGGGUUGUAAAGCUCUUUUAACCGGGAUGAUAAUGACAGUACCGGGAGAAUAAGCGCCGGCUAACUCCGUG
RNAcentral lists this ribosomal RNA (433 nucleotides) under uncultured bacterium. RNAcentral describes it as "partial 16S ribosomal RNA". It matches the Rfam family "Bacterial small subunit ribosomal RNA", at positions 29 to 507 of the family's 1533-position model. The record is from RNAcentral.